ACGCUGGCGGCGUGCCUAAUACAUGCAAGUCGAGCGGKGUUGWUUAGAAGCUUGCUUCUAAWCAACCUAGCGGCGGACGGGUGAGUAACACGUAGGCAACCUGCCCACAAGACAGGGAUAACUACCGGAAACGGUAGCUAAUACCCGAUACAUCCUUUUCCUGCAUGGGAGAAGGAGGAAAGACGGAGCAAUCUGUCACUUGUGGAUGGGCCUGCGGCGCAUUAGCUAGUUGGUGGGGUAAAGGCCUACCARGGCGACGAUGYGUAGCCGACCUGAGAGG
RNAcentral lists this ribosomal RNA (280 nucleotides) under Paenibacillus sp. R-30959. Its description in RNAcentral is "partial 16S ribosomal RNA". It matches the Rfam family "Bacterial small subunit ribosomal RNA", at positions 33 to 299 of the family's 1533-position model. The record is from RNAcentral. Lineage: Bacteria; Bacillati; Bacillota; Bacilli; Caryophanales; Paenibacillaceae.